Molecule: long non-coding RNA, 691 nt
Organism: Felis catus (domestic cat)
Lineage: Eukaryota; Metazoa; Chordata; Mammalia; Carnivora; Felidae
Exons: 5
Source: RefSeq, a predicted model, not a curated record
UAUAUUCUGUAAGGACAUCAAUACUGAUGGGUAUGUGUACGCGCGACUCUAUGAGCGUUUUAAAUUUUAUUUUGAUUGAAAACUGUAGUUUUGAAGAACAUAAGUGAGGAUCUCUGGAGCUUGAGGUAUCCAUCAAGUUCAUCCAUCAAGUUCAUGACGAGCAACCCCUGAACUCAGUCGCGUGCCCCAUGGACCCGAAUAUCCUGUACUCUUGCAUCUAGGCAAUGAUUCUUCUUCAAAAAGGAGAUUUAAAACCCAGAACGCAUUGAGCAUGAUGACCACGCUUAAUGCUGAUGAUGCAGAAAGACAAGACAGAAUGGAUCUUCUCUGGCAGUUGUUUAAUGCAAAUGGAUCUCAAAGGUCAGGAAUGAGAAGAUGAAAACGGAAUUGAAGCAGAUUAAAUCAAGGCACAACACUGUCACCCAUGAGAGAAGGACAUGUGAGGAGACAGUAAGAAGAUUGGUCAUCUACAAGAAAAAGUGAGGUCUCACCAGGAACUGAAUUUUCUAGCACCUUGAUCUUGGACUUUCAGCCUCCAGAAUGGUGACAGAAUACAUUUAUGUUGCUGAAACCUCCCAGUCAGUGGUACUUAUUAUGACAGUCUAAGCAGACUAAUAUAACAGACCACCCUACAUUGUAUUAUCAGAAUUAUAUGCAUACAACAAUAAAUUCAUCUCAUGCUUUAAAAAUC